UUCCUUGUGCCCCAUAAAGUAAUAGGGGGAGAAAGUGAAAGAGGGAAGAAAGGGAAGAUGGGAGGGAGGAAGGUCCAGGACAGUGGGGAUGUUCUUUGAUAAUUUAUCAGUACCUUUUGCAUUUGCAAAAAAAAAGUGAGCCUAAGUAACACAGUCCAUUUUCCCAGGAAAGCUUUUAAGGUUGUGGUCAAUGUCAACACUCUUCAAGAUACAGAUGAUACAAAUUUUUAAAAUACUACAAAGAUUAUAACUGUAUAUUGCCAUUAAAAGAUUGUGAUUUAUUUUCAACAUCUAGCACAUAACUCAAUAUAGUAUAUGCUCUUGAUAACUGCUUGGUGAAUACUUCACAAUUAUCAAAAAAUAUUGAAUCUACAAGAAAGACUUUUCAAUUUAUUGUACUGAAAGCUAUCUCUGAAGUUUGAAAUUUGAGGGAUGAAGGAAAUAGAAAUUUCAUUCUACAUCAUAGUAAAUGGAAUUCCAUUAAAGCUGAGUUUAUUUUAUGGGCAAACUCGAAUGCCCUAUGUAUGUUACCUUCACAUGACCUUUCUAUUCAGUAAUGUUUAGGCUUCAUAAGUGAAGAAAAGUGCCAACUUUAUAUAAAAAACUAAAUAUAACUAUAUGUCAUUACUCUUACCUCUUUUGUGCUUGCAUUUGACUGCCACCUCUUUGUCAUUCUUACCUUCAAUCCCAGUUUGUUCCACUACCACCUAGCUAUUUAGAAGACAAAAUUCCUAAAUGCUACCAGCAAAAAUAAAGGAAAAGUAGAAUGACAAUCACAGCCCUUUUGUUUCAGCUUUACAUAUCUUCUCAUAAGUCUUUGCAAAUAAACUCUGAAAGACAGAAGCAGAAAGAAGUUAGUGAAUCUUCCUAGAAUAGCAUUAAGUAAUUAAUUGCUUUUCCAACUUUCUUGCUGAAUUACUCAGGAGAACAGAUCUUUCUGAAAUUUAAGGUUUUCUCCUAAUAUGUAGGAACAUUCUAAGGAUUUAAACUGUUUGUUUGAGGGACUUCUGGUAUCCACGAAGGUAUUUUCCCUUUCCACCUGGGAAGGUUUUAGCUUGAGAUUUUAGCUUUACUGGUCUGUUCUAUUGUUUGUCUAGCACAGAUGUAGUGUACUGCAAGCAAUACAGUUCUCUCUGGGCAAUGAACAAGAUUUUUUUUAUUUCAUACAUUAUUUACAACUCUGCAGUGGUUUUAGAAAGUGAAUGUAUAUCCUGGACACAAAGAAAUGAAAAGCACAAAAGCAUAGAUAUGAUUGUCAUAUAGUUGUUUAGAAAGUUAAUACUAUUAUACAUGGAUUUCUCCUUUAUUGCACUUUAUUGUACUAUUAUACAUGGAUUUCUCCUUUAUUUAAAAUACCUAUUAGAGGUUUACCAGCCUAAUAAUGGCUAUUAAUCAGAAAUGUGCAUACUUAUUUUGUUUCAUAAUAAACUAAUAGAGUACAUUUAAAUAUGUGGAGCUUACCUAUAAGUAAGCAGUAUGAUUUUGUAUGGAUAAUCCAAUGUUUAUUUUAGUCAUGUUUGUGACAUCAUCUCAUUUGUGUAUAUCAGGUCUAUUUUCAGUGACAGAGAUAAUGAAAAAUAAUGGUGCUUUAUAUAUAAUUUUUUUCCUAUUUUACUUUAUUGUACCAAACAUAAACAUUAUUGAAUCCUAAAUAAAAAGGACUAAAAAACAUUUCUA
This 1677-nucleotide long non-coding RNA is filed under the name Marmota monax (woodchuck). The record is from RNAcentral. Lineage: Eukaryota; Metazoa; Chordata; Mammalia; Rodentia; Sciuridae.